Non-coding RNA from Acanthosepion pharaonis, 110 nucleotides. NCBI's taxonomy places the organism in Eukaryota, Metazoa, Mollusca, Cephalopoda, Sepiida, Sepiidae. The record is from the annotation of a GenBank genome assembly.
UAUGGCCAUAUCUCGUUCAAACAUCGGUUCUCGUAUGUUCACCAAGUUAAGCAACAUCGAGCCUGGUCAGUACCUAGGUGGGUGACCACCUGGAAAUAUCAGGUGCUGUG